UGGAAGAAAUCAAUUCAUAUUGCAAAUAUAUUCAUGGUUUCGAAUUCUCCUCUAGCCAAAAGAGGUUUAGUUCCUCAUACUUGCAAUUAAACAGAAACAAUUGAAAUUAAACAUUAAAAACCAAAGUAGAAUACACCUAGAAUGCUCCAGCAAUCCAAAUUGAAUGACUAGCACAACUCCAAGCAAUCCUCCUUCCUUGCAAAUAUGCGGCACCAAGGUGUGAGUGGUGAAUGGAUGGUCUCUUGUGGUGGUGGAUGGAUAUAGGUGAGUUAUGGUGAAGGGUGGAGAGUUGUGUAGAUGAUGUGGUGUCUUUGGAUGAUGGCCCCCAAAUUAUGGUGAAGGGUGGAUGUAUUUAUAGGCUAGGGAGAGGAGUGUAUGAAGUUGUAAUGAGUGGAUGUAAUGGGUGUAGUGGGUGAGUGUUGUGGUAAUGAGUGGAUGUAAUGGGUGUAGUGGGUGAGUGUUGUCGUAAUAAGUGGAUGUAAUGGGUGUAGUGGGUGAAUGUUUGGUAAUGAGUGGAUGUAAUGGGUGUAGUGGGCGGAUGUUUGGUAAUGAGUGGAUGUAAUGGGUGUAGUGGAUGGAUGUUUGGAGUUGUAGGUCAACACACUUGCACACACACAUGUUGAUUUCUAGCCUUCAAAUCUUCAAAAACGUCCAUCCUCAUGUCUCCAUGCUUGCACUAUCCAAUCUUGGCUAAAAAAUGCUCCAAAAUGCUCCAAAAUGCACUUUCUUGCCAACUUUGUUAUUAUGACCUACAAACACACGAAAAUAGCUUAAAAUACAUAAUUAACUAAGAAAUAACAACACAAAUGCACAAAAACAAGUUAACUAAGUCACAUAAAUAUGUUCCUAUCAGUGCUUGAGGGUAAGGAUUGCUAAAAUCUAUGUAAGUGAUGAUCUUUGACAUGUCAUGUUCAUUGGAAAUCCCUAAGGCAAAUGUUGGAAGGUUUAGGUUAUGUUUUGUUUUGCUCGAGGACUAGGAAAAGCUAAGUGCGGGGGAAUUUGAUAGGAGCAUAUUUAGGCAACUUUGUUAGCUUGUUUUCUUGCAUUUAUGUUGUUAGUUCUUACUUAUUAUAGUGUUUUAAGCUAUUUUUGUGUGUUUGUAGGUCCAAAUGACAAAGUUGGCAAGAAAGUGCAAUUUGGAGCAUUUUAGAGCAGUUUUGAGCUUGGAAUGGAUAUCAUAUGUGGGGAGCACUUUGGAUGGACGUUUUGAAGUUCAAAAGGCUAGGAAUAUGCUAAGGAGAUGAAGAAAAUAAAUCCAAGACAAAGAAGAUAAGGAAUCAGCUCAAAAGAAGGAAACAUUAUCGACAACCUUAUCUUAACCAACCUUAUCCAAACUAACCUUAUCUUAUCUUAUCCUAUUCUAAUCUUAUCAUGCCUUAAUUCCAGCUACAAGGGGGAAUUAUUUUCAGACUUGGAUACAUAAAAACUUGUUUCUAGAAGGCCUAUCCCUUCUCCUAUUAACAUGCCGCACCACCCUUU
RNAcentral lists this long non-coding RNA (1479 nucleotides) under Malus domestica (apple). RNAcentral describes it as "long non-coding RNA (MDOM_LNC019849)". Lineage: Eukaryota; Viridiplantae; Streptophyta; Magnoliopsida; Rosales; Rosaceae. The record is from RNAcentral.